RNAcentral lists this ribosomal RNA (460 nucleotides) under uncultured bacterium. Its description in RNAcentral is "partial 16S ribosomal RNA". It matches the Rfam family "Bacterial small subunit ribosomal RNA", at positions 338 to 795 of the family's 1533-position model. The record is from RNAcentral.
CCUACGGGAGGCAGCAGUGAGGAAUAUUGGUCAAUGGACGAGAGUCUGAACCAGCCAAGUAGCGUGAAGGAUGACUGCCCUAUGUGUUGUAAACUUCUUUUAUAAAGGAAUAAAACGAGGCACGUGUGCCUUGUUGCAUGUACUUUAUGAAUAAGGAUCGGCUAACUCCGUGCCAGCAGCCGCGGUAAUACGGAGGAUCCGAGCGUUAUCCGGAUUUAUUGGGUUUAAAGGGAGCGUAGAUGGGUUGUUAAGUCAGUUGUGAAAGUUUGCGGCUCAACCGUAAAAUUGCAAUUGAUACUGGCAGUCUUGAGUACAGUUGAGGUAAGCGGAAUUCGUGGUGUAGCGGUGAAAUGCUUAGAUAUCACGAAGAACCCCGAUUGCGAAGGCAGCUUACUAAACUGUGACUGACAUUGAUGCUCGAAAGUGUGGGUAUCAAACAGGAUUAGAUACCCUGGUAGUC